RNAcentral lists this long non-coding RNA (220 nucleotides) under Elaeis guineensis (African oil palm). RNAcentral's name for it is "long non-coding RNA (EGUI_LNC052676)". Lineage: Eukaryota; Viridiplantae; Streptophyta; Magnoliopsida; Arecales; Arecaceae. The record is from RNAcentral.
AUCAGGAGCUUCAUGUGGACGAUCUAUAGAGGCCAGACAUACUGUGUGGCUAUAUUGUAAUGAUCAGACCAUCCCAAUGGUGAUCAGACUGCAGUGAUCGACUACAUGCAUGAAGGUAAUGUAUUCUGAACACAUAACAGUAAAAUAUUUACUGUAAAAAUUUAAAUUUUAAAUUUAAAUGCAUGCUAUAUAUAUCAUAUUUAAAUCCUUGUAUAGGAUU